CAAACAUGUGACUGGGAUUGUACAUUCACACGUACAGUACCAGAUAAAAGUUUGUACACACCUACUCAUUCAAGGAUCUAGGAGACAAUACGUAACGAGGGGUAGAUGCCUAGAUGAUUUUAGUAGUUCCAUGAGUUAGCCAUGGUUGGUAGCUAUAUGGGCACAGUCACAGACAAGCUCUCACACCCAACACCCAUGAUGGAACUGUCGAGUCGAUUGUGCGUUACCAAAAGAGGACGGGGUGAUUGAACAACGCUGCAUAGAAUGUGCUUUAGCUGAAAUUGCUGGCAUAUUUUGAAGACUCGUUUCGCUUGGAGAACCUUAAAACAGAGGUAGGGCAGCCGUCCAACUAUGGACUGAGGGGGGACGAAGAGAGGCGUUGUUGUGUCUGGACUGGACGCGUUGGAGAUGAGGGAAAUGGCGUCCCUUGAAAGGGCACGAACAAGAUGUAUGUCAGGAGAAGUGCAGUAUUAUCCUAAGGAGAAGUAUUCUUGGAAUACAGAGGAGAAAUGGAGGGAAAAAGGGAGGCAGCGGAGGUUGGAGAGAGAGGGAGGAAGAGGGUGAGCUUGAAUCUGUAAGCAGAGUGAGCUAUGCCGGCUCGAAGACAGGAGGAGAAAUGGAAGUGAGUGAGGGUGAAGUAUGGAGGGGUAAGUGUGGUGACGUUCUCGGAGCCAGAGGUUUGCACAGAGGUUCACGAUAAAGGUGAGUCUGUGACUAGGAGUGACAGUUUAGAAAAGUGGACGCAUGUUAGGUGUUGUGGAAUCGAAGGUAACCAGAAGUGGUCUGGUAAUAAUUGUUUGUUUCUGCUGUUCCGAGGGAGCAGGGGCUCCGCGUUAAACGAAUGGGGACAAGUGAUAUGGGAUAUAUUCCGGAUAGCCUCGGACAAUAACAUUGACUGCCACUGACACGGCCGCUACCAAAGCUUGUGGGCUAUCCUUAUCCGUAGCCAAUGUGAGUAAAACAUUUAAACGUGUUAACCCUCGCAAGGCCGCCGGCC
RNAcentral lists this long non-coding RNA (997 nucleotides) under Salmo salar (Atlantic salmon). Its description in RNAcentral is "lncRNA (ENSSSAG00000092188.1)". Lineage: Eukaryota; Metazoa; Chordata; Actinopteri; Salmoniformes; Salmonidae. The record is from RNAcentral.